Molecule: long non-coding RNA, 1197 nt
Filed under: Manihot esculenta (cassava)
Lineage: Eukaryota; Viridiplantae; Streptophyta; Magnoliopsida; Malpighiales; Euphorbiaceae
Description: long non-coding RNA (MESC_LNC012922)
Source: RNAcentral
GCUUCAUCAAUUCCUCACAUGGACGUGAACCCCAGCGCAUGGACCAAAGCAUUCAAGCACGUGGGCCCCGCCACAGCAACUCUUCCCCAGCGCAUGGACCAUGGACCAAAGCAUUCACAGUAGACCCGCCAAUGCAAUGCUCUCACGUGGACCGCACUUCAUCUCUUGCCCAUGGCCCGCUUCCCUUCACGCGGAACAAGCCCCGGCACUUCAACAUGCACAGCACAUUCACGCGCCCUCACUCCAGCUUCGCGUGGACAUUCGCACACUCAAUCCACUCCCAGGCCAGCAAUUUUCCUAAAUAGUGCGCUCCUCUGCACUUAUAAAUAGAACUUCCAGUGAACAAUUCAGAGGACAACAAUUCCAAUCUCUUCAAUUCCUCAAAUCGGCGAAUUCCGCAGGGAGGCAGAAUUCAAGAUUUCAAUUUCGGUUCCUUCUUCCUCUUUUAUUUUCCUUUUAUUAUUUUGUUUUUAAUUCAGCCAAUGAAUGGCUGAUUCUUUUAAUUCUAGUUGAGGAUUGGUUGAAACUAAGGUUGUUUAAUGGGUUGUGAGAUCUGAACAUAAAUUAUUGUCUUUAGUUUUGUUCAAUAUUUUAUGCAAUUGAUACUUUAAUUACAUGAUUACUUUGUUGUUUUGAUCAAAUUGGCCACUUGAUUUUAAUUGCAAAGUUAAUUGAUUGUUAGUUAGCAUUAUUUUUAGUCCGUAAUUGCUGAAAAUAUUCUGACCUUAGAACACUUGGGAUAAAACCCAAGAAAAUUGCAUGAUCUAGCGUUAUCUCCAUACGUUUGGGUAGCUAGGAUUGGAUCUCUCUAUUUCUUUAUGCAAUUGACAAUUGUUUUGAUGCCUAUGGCCCAAGGACGUUCCUUGACAAUUUGUUAAUUAGUAAUUAAUUAGAGGACGUUCCCUAAUUAAUUUAAUCAUAAGGAGAGACAUGGUGGUGAGAAGCGUUUUCCACCCCCAUAACUAAUCUAUUGAACCAAUCAAGAUAAUUUAAGUUUCAAUAAUCAACCCAAACAACCAAAGUGGAUCCAUAUCUUCAACUAGGCUUUUCUCAUAUUGAUUUACUCUUUUAUUUUAAUUAUUUGCUUUCUAUUAUUACUCUCAUUAUUAGUUACUACAAUCAAUCUCAAACCCCCCCAUUUUACUUUUAUUGCAAUUUAUUUUUAUUCUGCUUCCAGUUUAUCUCAUUUGAUCCCAC